CUAUGGAAGCUUGCUUCCACUGAGAAGAUAGUGGCGGACGGGUGAGUAACACGUGGGUAACCUGCCCAUAAGAGGGGGAUAACAUCCGGAAACGGGUGCUAAUACCGCAUAGUUUUCUUGAUCGCAUGAUCGAGAAAGGAAAGACGGCCUUUGUGCUGUCGCUUAUGGAUGGACCCGCGGCGUAUUAGUUAGUUGGUGAGGUAAUGGCUCACCAAGACGAUGAUACGUAGCCGACCUGAGAGGGUGAUCGGCCACAUUGGGACUGAGACACGGCCCAAACUCCUACGGGAGGCAGCAGUAGGGAAUCUUCCGCAAUGGACGAAAGUCUGACGGAGCAACGCCGCGUGAGUGAAGAAGGUUUUCGGAAUCGUAAAACUCUGUUGUCAGAGAAGAACAAGUUGGAGAGUAACUGCUCCAGCCUUGACGGUAUCUGACCAGAAAGCCACGGCUAACUACGUGCCAGCAGCAGC
This 470-nucleotide ribosomal RNA is filed under the name uncultured bacterium. RNAcentral's name for it is "bacterial SSU rRNA". It matches the Rfam family "Bacterial small subunit ribosomal RNA", at positions 70 to 518 of the family's 1533-position model. The record is from RNAcentral.